UUGACCUCAAAUCAGGUACGAUACCCGCUGAACUUAAGCAUAUCAAUAAGCGGAGGA
This 57-nucleotide ribosomal RNA is filed under the name Kluyveromyces marxianus. RNAcentral's name for it is "partial 25S ribosomal RNA". Lineage: Eukaryota; Fungi; Ascomycota; Saccharomycetes; Saccharomycetales; Saccharomycetaceae. The record is from RNAcentral.